GAACAGAAAUUCUUGGCAAGUCAGUUCGUAUUAUAUUCUCUACAUUAGGAGUGUGCACAUUUUUUGCAGUUGGCUAUAUGCUGCUGCCACUGUUUGCUUACUUCAUCAGAGACUGGCGGAUGCUGCUGCUGGCGCUGACGGUGCCGGGAGUGCUGUGUGUCCCGCUGUGGUGGAGCCGGUCCAUGAAUGCUCCUGGCUGUGGGCAUACUGUACCAGGGACAGGACUUGCCCCAGACAGAGGCCAGCCUGGGACCAGCACUGACAAGCUGAGUGCUCCCCCUGAACAUUUACCAGUGGUCUUACCAUUUUCCUAUAAAAGAAAAUAGCUUUCUUCUGAACAUCCCAUCCUUGCAGGUUCAUUCCUGAAUCUCCCCGAUGGCUGAUAUCCCAGAGAAGAUUUAGAGAGGCUGAAGAUAUCAUCCAAAAAGCUGCAAAAAUGAACAACAUAGCUGUACCAGCAGUG
RNAcentral lists this small RNA (463 nucleotides) under Pan troglodytes (chimpanzee). RNAcentral describes it as "processed transcript". Lineage: Eukaryota; Metazoa; Chordata; Mammalia; Primates; Hominidae. The record is from RNAcentral.